UACGAGAGGCGCAAACGUUAUUCGGAUUUACUGGGCUUAAAGAGUUCGUAGGCGGCGCAGGAAGUAGGGUGUGAAAGCCCUCGGCUCAACCGAGGAAUUGCGCUCUAAACUACUGUGCUUGAGGGACCUAGAGGUGAGCGGAACUGAUGGUGGAGCGGUGAAAUGCGUUGAUAUCAUCAGGAACACCGGAGGCGAAGGCGGCUCACUGGGGGUCUUCUGACGCUGAGGAACGAAAGCCAGGGGAGCGAACGGG
RNAcentral lists this ribosomal RNA (253 nucleotides) under uncultured bacterium. RNAcentral's name for it is "partial 16S ribosomal RNA". It matches the Rfam family "Bacterial small subunit ribosomal RNA", at positions 524 to 776 of the family's 1533-position model. The record is from RNAcentral.